CCAAGUGCCCGCUCCAGCCCCACCACUGACCCCGCCUGGCCCACAAAUGCCCAGCAGCCCUCAAGUGACUCCCUUGCCCACAAGGGCUCCUCUGUUGCCUCACCCAGUGGCUCCUGCAACGGCGCCUCCUGUAGGGCAUCAUGAGCACUGCUCCUGAUUGGCUGAGGGGCCUCACACCGGUCACGUGACCUGAAGCCCGGCCCUCCCCGGCGCAGGGGCUCAGGAAGCGCCUCCGGUGCAGACGGCGGGGCGCCCCGGGAGUCACGUGACUCCCACCAUGGCACACACUGCAGAUGCCCGAGGCAGUCAUGUGACCCCCAAAAUGGCUCCUGCCGCAAAGGUUCGUGGGACCCUCGCUUUCCACCGGGUGCCGCCCCCUGGUGCAGAGAUGCACAGCAGCUGCUGCUGAUUUGCCACGGCGCGUCACGGGACUUGCUCUCCAGUGCCAGCUACCGGGGCUGGGAGUUCCUGGCUGUGUUCCUACAAAAUGAUAAUGAGUCCCCCAGUGCCUACCUGCAGCUGUUGUUCACCUCCUAUGGCCCUGCCAGCACCCAGGUGUCACUGACGCUCCGUGGCAGGUCCGUCACCCA
This 590-nucleotide long non-coding RNA is filed under the name Parus major (Great Tit). RNAcentral describes it as "lncRNA (ENSPMJG00000004197.1)". The record is from RNAcentral. Lineage: Eukaryota; Metazoa; Chordata; Aves; Passeriformes; Paridae.